Long non-coding RNA from Aethalodelphis obliquidens (Pacific white-sided dolphin), 1350 nucleotides. RefSeq lists it as uncharacterized. The transcript is spliced from 4 exons. The record is from RefSeq and is a predicted model, not a curated record. Lineage: Eukaryota; Metazoa; Chordata; Mammalia; Artiodactyla; Delphinidae.
CUUCCCACUCUACACACACGAUAGUCUGCUCUCUUCCCACGCUCUCCCUGGCUUUGUGCUCGCUGCUGCUUCUGUCUGGGAUGUUUUCUCCUCUCCCCUCAUCUACACACCCCACGCCUACUGUUCCUUCAAAUCUCAUUCACAGGUGACUUCACUGAAACCUUUACUGACUUCUGUGGCCAUCUCUAAUGACUCAACUGCAUUUUUAAAAAUAGCUUUAAUGAGAUAUAAUUUAUAUCACAUAGUUCACCUAUUUCAAGAGUACAAUUUGAUGAUUUUUAGUAUAUUUACAAAAUUGGGCAACCACCACCAUAAUCUAACUUUAGAACAUUUUUAUUAUUCCCCAAAGAAAGACUUAGUUUUUGUUCUUGAAACUCAUAUACCUGGAAUGGAAGACAAUAAACAAGUCAUUACCAAUGUGAUGGGUAUUUUCAAGACUUGUUUGGUGAAGGGUGACAUGGAAAUAUUCUAGGUCAUUUGGAAAUUAAUUGUUCCACUGAAGUGAGUUUUUAAACUGAAAUGGACUCUUUCAAACCUUAAAAUUUAAUUAUUUUUCACUCUUUUGUGAGAAAAUACCCCCACUGGUGUUCUUUUAGUUGCAUGAAACCUACCAUACUCUGGACAGCUGUAGGACUUGGGAUGACUGUUGUAUUUGGCAAUUCAGAGGAUGUGAGUUUGUGGCAGUGUGGGUUAUCCAGGAAACAGAUGCCAAGACAGAGUCAGAAUCGUAAGGGAUUCGUCAGCAAUAACGUUUGUGAAAAGUAAAUGGGAGAGGAGUCGGCAGGGAAAGGCUGCAGACCACGAAACCUGUCUGACACCUGUGAAAGGAAGGAGGGAGGACCCGCCAGGAAGACCUCACGCUGAGGUGCAGCCUGAGAACAUCUCGGCCAGCCCAGCAGGGCGCUCCAGCACACUGGGCAGAAAUGGAAAGAUUGUCAAGAGAGGACACGUCACCCUUGGAGGGAGAGCCAACUGGUUGGCUUCAUUUUUCCCUAUAGUCAAUGGACUUUAUUUACAUGGCAGAGAACAUUGUCACUUGCAAGUUUUAUCAGAACAAUCCCAAAGGAAGACCUAGACAAAGCUGGCUUGGUUGUAUGAUCAUGUCUGGGUCACGUGGCCUAUCUUGGUCACAUGCAUUUCCCAUGGGUAGGGCAACAGCCAAGGACUCUGAAGAUGUGUAGUAGGAUGGAUUUCUGAACUAAACUCAGCAGACACAGAUAGAGGAGUGGUCCUGCUUUGAAUUUGUUUCGCCUGCAAGAGGGUCUUAGUUCUCAUGAACAGACAGGAAAAUGGCGGUAGGUAAGUGGUUCCUGGGGAGAUGGGUACACGAGGACACUGCAGCAGCAGAUU